Molecule: long non-coding RNA, 337 nt
Filed under: Equus asinus (donkey)
Lineage: Eukaryota; Metazoa; Chordata; Mammalia; Perissodactyla; Equidae
Description: lncRNA (ENSEASG00005030905.1)
Source: RNAcentral
GAAUAGGAUUUGAGUGGAAAUGUGAUUGGAGUAGAAGGCAUCAGGGAGGGAGCCUGAGCUGAGACCACAUCUUGAAAACACAGAAUUGAGGGAGCAGAUGGAAGAAAGAAAGUCAGCAGGCUUGGAGGAUGAUGAUAACCCCAAGAAGAUUAAGGUGCUGGUGGAGGAGGUGGUUGGCAAAGGAGGGAACCUGUGCAACAGCCAGGGACACCCAAGGAUGGAUCAGGUUUGGUUUCUCCUGCUGGGGAGCACCAAUUCCAAGAGGAGGAGGGUGGCACCCCCGAGGCUCUUCGCCAGACCCCCCGGCCUUGACCUCAGUGCUGCCCUCACAGUGGAC